UACGUAGGGUGCAAGCGUUGUCCGGAAUUAUUGGGCGUAAAGAGCUCGUAGGCGGUUUGUCACGUCGGAUGUGAAACCCCGGGGCUCAACCCCGGGCCUGCAUUCGAUACGGGCAGACUAGAGUUCGGCAGGGGAGACUGGAAUUCCUGGUGUAGCGGUGAAAUGCGCAGAUAUCAGGAGGAACACCGGUGGCGAAGGCGGGUCUCUGGGCCGAUACUGACGCUGAGGAGCGAAAGCGUGGGGAGCAAACGGG
RNAcentral lists this ribosomal RNA (253 nucleotides) under uncultured bacterium. RNAcentral's name for it is "partial 16S ribosomal RNA". It matches the Rfam family "Bacterial small subunit ribosomal RNA", at positions 524 to 776 of the family's 1533-position model. The record is from RNAcentral.